RNAcentral lists this ribosomal RNA (259 nucleotides) under uncultured Gram-positive bacterium. RNAcentral's name for it is "partial 16S ribosomal RNA". It matches the Rfam family "Bacterial small subunit ribosomal RNA", at positions 36 to 285 of the family's 1533-position model. The record is from RNAcentral.
CCUGGCGGUGCGCCUUAUGCAUGCAAGUUGAGCGAAGCUUUUCAGUAGUUUACUACAGAAAAUGACUGAGCGGCGAACGGGUGAGUAACGCGUGAGCAAUCUACCUUAGUUACUGGGAUAGCCCGAGGAAACUCGGAUUAAUACCGGAUAAUCUUAUUACAUCACAUGAUAUUUUAAGUAAAGGUCAGCCGAACUAAGAUGAGCUCGCGUUCUAUCAGCUAGUUGGUGGGGUAAAAGCCUACCAAGGCUACGACGGAUA